AUACGUAGGGGGCAAGCGUUGUCCGGAAUGAUUGGGCGUAAAGGGCGCGUAGGCGGCCCGGUAAGUCUGGAGUGAAAGUCCUGCUUUUAAGGUGGGAAUUGCUUUGGAUACUGCUGGGCUUGAGUGCAGGAGAGGUAAGUGGAAUUCCCGGUGUAGCGGUGAAAUGCGUAGAGAUCGGGAGGAACACCAGUGGCGAAGGCGACUUACUGGACUGUAACUGACGCUGAGGCGCGAAAGUGUGGGGAGCAAACAGGAUUAGAUACCCUGGUAGUCCACACUGUAAACGAUGAAUGCUAGGUGUAGGGGGUAUCGACCCCUUCUGUGCCGGAGUUAACACAAUAAGCAUUCCGCCUGGGGAGUACGGCCGCAAGGUUGAA
Molecule: ribosomal RNA, 377 nt
Filed under: uncultured bacterium
Lineage: Bacteria
Description: bacterial SSU rRNA
Rfam family: Bacterial small subunit ribosomal RNA
Source: RNAcentral